RNAcentral lists this ribosomal RNA (253 nucleotides) under uncultured bacterium. RNAcentral describes it as "partial 16S ribosomal RNA". It matches the Rfam family "Bacterial small subunit ribosomal RNA", at positions 524 to 776 of the family's 1533-position model. The record is from RNAcentral.
UACAGAGGUCUCAAGCGUUGUUCGGAUUCAUUGGGCGUAAAGGGCGCGUAGGUGGCCUGCUAAGCGUGCGGUGAAAGCUCGGGGCUCAACCCCGAGUCGGCCGUGCGAACUGGUGGGCUUGAGCACUGUAGAGGCAGGCGGAAUUCCGGGUGUAGCGGUGGAAUGCGUAGAGAUCCGGAAGAACACCGGUGGCGAAGGCGGCCUGCUGGGCAGUAGCUGACACUGAGGCGCGACAGCGUGGGGAGCAAACAGG